RNAcentral lists this ribosomal RNA (254 nucleotides) under uncultured bacterium. RNAcentral's name for it is "partial 16S ribosomal RNA". It matches the Rfam family "Bacterial small subunit ribosomal RNA", at positions 524 to 776 of the family's 1533-position model. The record is from RNAcentral.
UACGUAGGCCGCAAGCGUUGUUCGGAGUUACUGGGCGUAAAGGGUGUGUAGGCGGUUAUUUAAGUUUGGUGUGAAAUCUCCCGGCUCAACCGGGAGGGUGCGCCGAAUACUGAAUGACUUGGAGUGCGGGAGAGGAAAGUGGAAUUCCUGGUGUAGCAGUGAAAUGCGUAGAUAUCAGGAGGAACACCGAUGGCGAAGGCAGGUCUCUGGGCUGACACUGACGCUCAUGCACGAAAGCGUGGGGAGCAAACAGG